UGGGGAAUAUUGCACAAUGGGCGCAAGCCUGAUGCAGCCAUGCCGCGUGUGUGAAGAAGGCCUUCGGGUUGUAAAGUACUUUCAGCGGGGAGGAAGGGAGUAAAGUUAAAACCUUUGCUCAUUGACGUUACCCGCAGAAGAAGCACCGGCUAACUCCGUGCCAGCAGCCGCGGUAAUACGGAGGGUGCAAGCGUUAAUCGGAAUUACUGGGCGUAAAGCGCACGCAGGCGGUUUGUUAAGUCAGAUGUGAAAUCCUCGGGCUCAACCUGGGAACUGCAUCUGAUACUGGCAAGCUUGAGUCUCGUAGAGGGGGGUAGAAUUCCAGGUGUAGCGGUGAAAUGCGUAGAGAUCUGGAGGAAUACCGGUGGCGAAGGCGGCCCCCUGGACGAAGACUGACGCUCAGGUGCGAAAGCGUGGGGAGCAAACAGG
This 429-nucleotide ribosomal RNA is filed under the name Chloroflexota bacterium. Its description in RNAcentral is "Chloroflexi bacterium partial 16S ribosomal RNA". It matches the Rfam family "Bacterial small subunit ribosomal RNA", at positions 355 to 776 of the family's 1533-position model. Lineage: Bacteria; Bacillati; Chloroflexota. The record is from RNAcentral.